UUGAAACACCAGUUCCUGUACAAUCACCGAAAUUAAGUAAUGAUGUGUCUUGUCAGUAGCUAGAUGGGUGACCACUUGGGAAUACCAGGUGCUGUAAG
Acanthosepion pharaonis is the source of this 98-nucleotide non-coding RNA. NCBI's taxonomy places the organism in Eukaryota, Metazoa, Mollusca, Cephalopoda, Sepiida, Sepiidae. The record is from the annotation of a GenBank genome assembly.